CUAGAAACCUAGCUGGACACCUACACCAGGGCAACCAAGCGAAAAGCAAAGGAGAAAAGGAAAAAUAUAAGCAUCUGAAUGCAGAGUUCCAAAGAAUAGCAAGAAGAGAUAAGAAAGCCUUCCUCAGUGAUCAAUGCAAAGAAAUAGAGGAAAACAACAGAAUGGAAAAAACUAGAGAUCUCUUCAAGAAAAUUAGAGAUACCAAAGGAACAUUUCCUGCAAAGAUGGGCUCAAUAAAGGACAGAAAUGGUAUGGACCUAACAGAAGCAGAAGAUAUUAAGAAGAGGUGGCAAGAAUACACAGAAGAACUGUACAAAAAGAUCUUCA
Bos taurus (domestic cattle) is the source of this 327-nucleotide long non-coding RNA. The record is from Ensembl. Lineage: Eukaryota; Metazoa; Chordata; Mammalia; Artiodactyla; Bovidae.